AAAGCCUUAGACCAAAAAUAGAGCAAACUCACGAAACAGAGAGCCGGGAAACUCACGCAGGCAACGGAAAAAUCUAGGGUUUCUUACAAAUCACUAAUUCUUGAACUCAGGUAUGUAAAAUCCCCUAUUGUCAAUUACCCUACAGUAGUAAUAGGUAAGAAUUGAAUAGUUAAUUCCCUGUUUCCUCAAUAUCAACAAUAAAUUUCAUAUUUAGGCGUAGUAUUUUAAAAUUGAUUAAAAUGCACUGGUUGUUGUAGAAUCGAUUGUUUGACUGGUGGCAAUUGGACUGGAGCCUACGUAUUGGCUCGAAAAGUUUUGAGGUGAGUUGAUAUAACCCUUUACUAAAGUGGUUUAACUCAGAAAGCACGUAUACAAGGUGUUUGAUAAAUUGCUUAAAAGAUUUUAUAUUUACUUAAUUGGAGAGAGUGAGUACCUAUUAACUUAGAAUUGUUCUAGCAAAAGUUUAGAUGAUUUAUUAUGAUAUAUGUGUGUAAAUUUUCAGAUUUUUGUAUUAUUCUUAUAUGCCAUUUUCAUGUUGAAAAUUCAUGAAAAAGCAAGAAUAUUUAGAAAUUUUGAAUGUUUAUUUCAUUCUUAUGCCCUACCUUACAUUUAAGAAUUCUAGAAUAAGUAUGUUUGAAAGAUUUAGACUUGAAAAGUCACAAGAAGAAGUUUUAGAAAGAAAUGUUUUUUUAGGAGUAUCCUUUAUUCUAAGAAGGGGUCAUCGUCCAUGCCGAGGGUCCUGACCAAGGCGUUUACUUCCUGAAACUACUUGUGCCAAAGUAGGGAGCACACGAGCCGAGAGUCUCGUUGUUGAGAAUUUACUUAGCGAUGCUAAGAUAUGAUACAUGAGCGCUGAGAACCAUGAAGCGAGUGACACCUCGUAGAUUGGGCCUAUUCGAUCAGGUUGAGAUCGAACCUGUGCCGAUCACACGGUGACUGAGACAGAAUUAAGUCAGGAUAGUUGGAACUCCCAAAGUAUAAAGAGAAGUAAUGUUUUUUAGAAAAAGAAAAGAAUUUCUUUUAGAAUAUUCAUAAACUACUAUUAUGCUAUUAUUUUAGAAUUGUUCUUAGAGGCUUUAUGUUUUCUAUGCAUUUAUAUUCUUUGCUCGUAAGAUGUAUUGUAUUAAAGUUGUGUCCCCUGUUAUUGAGACUCACUGAGUAUAAUGGAUGGUACUGACGUUCUUUUUUGGGAACCUACGUUGGUCUGCGAUACAACAUAGGAACCGGUUUUGCAGGCGAGUAGGCUACGGGUUAGGACUUCCUUCUCUUCCAGUGCUAUUGGUGAGCUCCGCUUUUGUUCGUGGAGUGUUCCUUUGAGUCAUCUUUAUUUAGUUAUUUCUUUGUUUACUUAGAGAACUGAAAGAAAUCUUAUGUCCUGAGUAGUGCGUUAGUUUAUCAGUAGAGGCUUCAUAGACAUAGUCGUUGGGUUAAGAUUCAGAUGUUUUUGAUAAUAACUUAGCAGUAAUUCAGUAGUUACUACAAAUAAAGUUUUGGAGUUGAUUUAUUUAAAUAUUUAAAAGUAAUCAAAAGUAUUUGGUUAGAGUAUUGCCUUGUUGCAUAUAAGGUUUGGAGUUAUAAUAAAUUUGAUAAACAAAGAUGGUUCGCUCGGUCAUGUUUAGUGAUCGAGUGCCGGUCCUGGCUUGUUCAGAAAAUGAGUCGUGACAAACUUGAUAUCAGAGCCUCAGGUUUAAGGAGUCCUAGGGGUCUAUGAAGCCGUGUUAGUAGAGUCUUGUUUAUGGGUAUGAAGCGCGCCAUACUUAUAAACAAGAGGCUUCAAGCAUUUAGGAAAAAUUUCAUUUUUUCAUACUUUAGAUCGUGCAGUAGAUCCUACCUCUAAGAAAAUAUCUAAUGUAUUCGUUUCUCCAGAACUCGUAGAAAUGGCUCGUACUCGCAACUCUCCCGAUGUGGGUCAGAUGUAUAAUAUUGUCAACACUGCUAUGGAGAUGUUUAAAUCCUUUAUGGCCAACCAGAACGAGAGAAGAGAUGAGAUUUCACCUCAAUCAAAUAGAUAGAACAAUUCUGAGUCCUCAAGAGUGAAUAAAUUUUUGAAGUUUUGUCCUCUAGUGUUCCAUGGUUCUAUAGUUGAUGAAGAUCCAAUGUUGUGGCUGGAGGGUGUCAAGAAAGCCCUCCGAGUGAUGAAAGCAUUUGAUGAUGAAGCUGUGGAGCUGGCUGCUUACCAGCUUAGAGAUAUGACUGGCGCUUGGUUUGAGAUAUGGGAAAAGGAAAGAGAUGAAGAUGAUGGUCCGCCUACUUGGGAAGAAUUUGAAGAGGCCUUCAUGGCUAACUUUAUCCCAUAAGAGGAUAGGGAAGCUAAGUCUACAGAGUUCGAACAACUUAAGCAAGGGAAUAUAAGUGUGCAAGAGUACUAAGGGUUGGCUAAGCAUGCUCUUCACAUUGUUAAGAUAGAAAAAGCAAAGAUUCGCAGGUUUGUUGGCGGUUUAGCUUACGACAUUAAGGAUAUGAUAUCAGCUACAGCAGUAGGGAUGACAACCUUCUCCUCUAUUGUGGGAUUUGCCAAGCACUUAGAAAAAGGCAGACAACAAAGGAGAGAAGAAAAAGAGCAUAACAAGAAAGCCCGGACAGCGUGCAGGUUUAAUGGUACAUCCAGAGGAGGUGGAAGGGAUUCCUCUAAUAAGGAGUCAUUAGCACCAGCUCAGUCUAGUCAUCAGUCAGGUGGUGGGUCUUCCUUCAGACGUACUCAGAGUUAUAGAAAUCAGUAUCGCCAGAAUCAAAAUUUUAGGACAUCAUCCUCACAUAGCCAGAGUCAGGCUGAGCAACAUUCACACCAACAAGGUCUUUGUGGAACAUGUAAGCAACAACAUUUAGGUUAGGGCAAGCUCUGUUUUCAUGGUUGCUAUCAUUGUGGAGACAUUGGUCAUAUAAAAGCCAACUGCCCAAAGUUGCGAUGUAAUUUUAUUGGUGGAUCAACUCGUCCUUCUAGUUCCUCAGCUACUGCAGUUGCACCACCCCAGGCUAGUGGUUCUCAUAAUCAGGCCGGGUAUGGGGCAAAGGUGCAAAUCGAGUCACCCAGGGAGGGGGAUAACCCCGUUUGUUUGCUACACUUGAUCGUCAGAGUGCAGAGGCAUCUGUAGAAGUUAUUACAGGUAUACCUUUAGUCUGCUCACAUAAUGCUUAUGCCAUAAUGGAUCAGGUUCAACGCUUUCAUAUGUGACUCCAUACUUUGCAAUUAACCUCGAACUAGAACCUGAACAACUUAGUGAGCCAUUCCUAGUAUCUACUCCAGUUGGCGACUCAGUGAAAGUCACCAGAGNNNNNNNNNNNNNNNNNNNNNNNNNAGUCAGGUUCCAAUUUCCAAAUGAAGAAGUCUUAGAGUGGAAGGGUAGUUCAACAUCGCUUGUAGGUAAGUUUAUUUCUUACCUUAAGGCACAACGAAUAAUCGGUAAGGGGUGUCUCGCCUAUUUGGCUCACAUCAUUAAUCCAGAAUCAGAACCACCAACUCUUCAGUCUGUGCCAGUUGUUAGAGAAUUUCCAGAAGUUUUUCCAGAUGACCUUCCCGGACUUCUUCCUGAAAGAAUCAUAGACUUUGGCAUUGAUAUCAUGCCAGGCACUCAGCCCAUAUCUAUACCUCCUUAUAGGAUGGCUCCAGCAGAAAUUAAUGAGUUGAGAGAACAGUUGAAAGACCUUCUUGACAAGGGCUUCAUCAGGCCGAGUGUUUCACCGUGGGGUGCCCCGGUCCUGUUUGUCAAGAAGAAAGAUGGGUCUCUCAGAAUGUGCGUCGACUAUCGGUAGUUGAAUAAAGUUACCAUUAAGAACAAGUAUCCACUGCCAAGAAUUGAUGAUUUAUUUGAUCAACUUCAGGGUGCAAAGUACUUUUCAAAAAUAGACUUGAGGUCGGGGUCCCAUCAGUUGAGAAUCAGAGAAGAGGAUAUAUCUAAAAUAGCCUUUAGAACUCGCUACGGGCACUAUGAAUUUCUAGUAAUGUCCUUCGGGUUGACAAAUGCUCCAACUGCAUUCAUGGACCUCAUGAACAGAGUUUUCAAGCCAUUCAUGGAUACCUUUAUUAUUGUGUUUAUAGAUGAUAUUUUGGUGUACUCUAAGAGCAAGGAAGAUCAUGCAAAACACCUCAAAAUAGCCUUGCACACCUUGAAGGAGAAUGAGUUUUAUGCCAAAUUUUCAAAAUGUGAGUUCUGGUUGCAGUUAGUGGCAUUCUUAGGCCACGUGGUAUCUAGUAAAGGAAUAAAAGUAGACCCUCAGAAGACAGAAGCAGUCAAAAACUGGCCAAUGCCGACAAUGCCAACCAAAAUUAGAAGUUUCUUGGGGUUAGCUAGUUACUAUAGAAGGUUUGUAGGGGGGUUUUCCUCACUUGCAGCUCCAUUAACUAAGUUUACUCAGAAAGCAGUUAAGUUCCAGUGGUCAGACGCUUGUGAGCAGAGUUUUCAAGAGUUAAAGAGGAGGUUGACCACUGCACCUGUAUUAACCUUGCCGAUAGGUUCGGGUGGGUUCACAGUGUAUUGUGAUGCUUCAGAGUUGGUCUCGGUUGUGUUCUUAUACAAAAUGGAAAAGUUAUUGCUUAUGCUUACAGGCAGUUAAAGAAUCAUGAAAAGAACUAUCCCACACACGACUUGGAGCUUGUAGCAGUGGUAUUUGCAUUAAAGAUAUGGCGACACUACCUUUAUGGCGAGCAUUCUAAAGUGUUUACAAAUCACAAAAGCCUCCAGUACAUUUUCAAGCGAAAGAAUUAAAUUUGAGACAAAGAAGGUGGCUCGAUCUAUUGAAAGAUUAUGAUCUUAAUAUCCUUUAUCACCCCGGGCAAAGCUAAUGUGGUAGCAUAUGAACUUAGUAGGAAGUCAAUGGGUGUCUUGGCCCAUCUUGCAGUACAAAGGCGAUCUUUAGGUCGAGAAAUUAAAAAACUAGCAAAUGAUGGAAUUAGAUUAGAUAAGACCGAAGAAGGAGGUAUAACUGCUUAUGCAUUAGCGCAAUCCUCCCUUGUUGCGCAUGUUAAGGCUAAGCAAGACGAAGAUCCGUACUUAGUAAAAUUAAAAGGAGUCAGAAAUAAAGAAAUCACUGCUUUCACUCUAGGAAGUGACGGGGUUUUGAAGUUGAAUGAUCAGUUAUGUGUGCCUGAUGUAGAUGGUCUUAGGAAGGCCAUAAUGGAGGAAGCUCACAGUUCGAGGUACUCUAUCCACCCAGGUGCUACCAAAAUGUAUCUAGAUUUAAAAGAGUUGUAUUUGUGGAAAGGCAUGAAGAAACAAGUAGCAGAUCAUGUGGCUAAAUGUUUAAAUUGCUAGCAAGUCAAAGCCGAGCAUCAGAGGCCUGGUGGCCUAGCUCAAGAUAUAGAGAUACCACAGUGGAAGUGGGAGAUGAUUAAUAUGGAUAUCGUAGUAGGUCUACCUCGCACGUACCGUAAACAUGAUUCAAUUUGGGUUAUUGUAGACCGACUGACAUAGUCCACGCAUUUUCUACCAAUAAAGACGACAGAUUUCACAGAGCAGUAUGCGUAGUUGUACAUUAAAAAAAUAGUCCGAUUGCAUGGUACUUAGUUUCAAUCAUAUCUGACAGAGGCCCUCAAUUCACGACACAUUUUUGGUAGGCAUUUCAGAAAAGAUUAUGUACCAAGGUCAAUUUAAGCACCGCUUUCCAUCCACAAACCGAUGGCCAGGCAGAAAGGACCAUUCAGUCUCUCGAAGAUAUGCUACGUGCGUGUGUUAUAGAUUUUGGAGGUAAUUGGGAUGAUCACUUGCCACUUAUAGAAUUUGCUUACAAUAACAACUAUCAGGUCAGCAUUGGUAUGACUCCUUAUGAAGCAUUGUAUGGGCGGAGAUAUAGGUCUCCAGUGGGUUGGUUUGAACCAGCAGAGGUGCCAUUGAUUGGUCCAGAGUUUGUUUGUGAGGCCUUGGCUAAAAUUCAGCUAAUUAGAGAAAGACUUAAAGCAGCUCAGAGUCGUUAAAAGUCUUAUUCUGACAAGAGGCAUCGUGAGUUAAAGUUCAUAGUUGGUGAUAAGAUGUUUUUGAAAGUUUCACCAAUGAAAGAAGUUAUGAGGUUUGGUAAGAAAGGUAAGCCCUAGAUUUAUCGGACCUUAUGAAAUUCUAGAAAAGAAAGGAAACGUGGCUUAUAAGGUAGCGCUACCCGUUGAGUUGUCCUCUGUUCAUCCUGUCUUUCAUUCAUGAUGAGUCGCAUAUAAUACCUGCCGAUACCAUAAAAAUUAAAGAAGGCUUGACUUAUGAAGAGGUACCUAUAGAAAUUCUCGAUAGGCAAGUAAGAAAGUUGAGAACAAAAAAUUUAGCAUCAGUAAAAGUUUUGUGGAGUAAUCAUGAUUCAAAAGAGGCUAUGUGGGAGGUCGAGGAAGAUAUGAGAAAGAAAUAUCCAUAUUUAUUAGGUAUGUGAACCUAAGUUUGGUUUGACAUUUAUAUUUCAUUUAUUAAAUACAAGUUAGAAAGUAUUUCUGUCUUUCCUAGAUUAUACUUAGUUGUUGUAGUAAUUUAGUUUAUGCCGUAGUAUAUUUAAUUCAUUAAAGUGAUUUACUUGUGCUAGAGUUGUUGUACUUUAGAUUCUUGUUAGUUAUUGUGGUACCUCCUUGCCGAAGUGUGAGUAAUUAAUUUAUGAGCUGCGUAUGGCGCCUAUGAAUGGCCUGUUAGGGUAUAUUUGGUUGAUGUUGGUGUAGUUGUAGUAUUUGUGAUAGGGAUAUUUUUUUAAUAGUCUCAUUUACAAGGAAAACUCUGCCGAAUUUUUGAAAAUUUAGAGAGUUAGCCAAAAUUUUGAGUCCCUUGGAAGAGUGAGUAGUGCUAAGAAAAAUUUAAGAGGUUCAAGGACCUAAGGGAUGAUUGUUAGCUUAAGAAUAAGGCUCUAGUAACACUCGAGGACGAAUUUUUUUAAGGAGGGAAGAUUGUAACACUCCUCAAAUUUAUAAAAGUUUCGAGACACGCUAUUUAUAGAAUUAAAUUAUUAUUGUUUUUUUUUCUUACCUAUAGUAUAUAUAUAUAUAUAUAUAUAUAUAUAUAUAUAUAUANNNNNNNNNNNNNNNNNNNNNNNNNAAUUUAGGGUUUCUUACAAAUCACUAAUUCUUGAACUCAGGUAUGUAAAAUCCCCUAUUGUCAAUUACCCUACAAUAGUAAUAUGUAAGAAUUGAAUAAUUAAUUCCCUUCUUCCUCUAUAUCAACAAUAAAUUUCAUAUUUAGGUAUAGUACUUUAAAAUUGAUUAAAAUGCACUGGUUGUUGUAGAAUCGAUUGUUUGACUGGUGGCAAUUGGACUGGGGCCUACGUAUUGGCUCGAGAAGUUUUGAGGUGAGUUGAUAUAAUCCUUUACAAAAGUAGUUUAACUCACAAAAGCACGCACACAAGGUGUUUGAUAAAUUGUUUAAAAGACUUUAUAUUUACUUAAUUGGAGCGAGUGAGUACCUAUUAACUUAGAAUUGUUCUAACAAAAGUUUAGAUGAUUUAUUAUGAAAUAUGUGUGUAAAUUUUCAGAUUUUUGUAUUAUUCUUAUAUGCCAUUUUCAUGUUGAAAAUUCAUGAAAAAGCAAGAAUAUUUAGAAAUAAUUUUGAAUGUUUAUUUCAUUCUUAUGCCAUACCUUACAUUUAAGAACUCUAGAAUAAGUAUGUUUGAAAGAUUUAGACUUGAAAAGUCACAAGAAGAAGUUUUAGAAAGAAUUUUUUUUUUGGAAGUAUCCUUUAUUCUGAGAUGGGGUCAUCGUCCAGGCCGAGGGUCCUGACCAAGGCGUUAACUUCCUGAAACUACUUGUGCCAAAGUAGGGAGCACACGAGCCGAAGGUCUCGUUGCUGAGAAUUUACUUAGCCAUGCUAAGAUAUGAUACUUGAGCGCUGAGAACCAUGAAGCGAGUGACACCUCGUGGAUUGGGCCUAUUCGAACAGGUUGGGAUCGAACCCGUGCCGAUCACACGGUGACUGAGACAGAAUUAAGUUAGGAUAGUUGGAACUCCCAAAGUAUAAAGAGAAGUAAUUUUUUUUAGAAAAAGAAAAGAAUUUCUUUUAGAAUAUUCAUAAACUGCUAUUAUACUAUUAUUUUAGAAUUGUUCUUAAAGGCUUUAUGUUUUCUAUGCAUUUAUAUUCUUUGCUUGUAAGGUAUAUUGUAUUAAAGUUGCGUCCCCUGUUGUUGAGACUCACUGAGUACACUGGAUGGUACUGACGUUCUCUUUUAGGAACCUACGUUGGUCUGCGGUACAACGUAGGAACCGAUUUUGCGGGCGAGCAGGCUACGGAUUAAGACUUCCUUCUCUUCCAGUGCUAUUGGUGAGCUCCGCUUUUGUUCGUGGAGUGUUCCUUUGAGUCAUCUUUAUUUAGUUAUUUCUUUGUUUACUUAGAAAACUGGUCAAGAAAUCUCAUAUCCUGAGCAGUGCGUCAGUUUAUCAGUAGAGGUUUCAUAGACAUAGUCGUUGGGUUAAGAUUCAGAUGUUUUUGAUAAUAACUUAGCAGUAAUUCAAUAGUUACUACGAAUAAAGUUUUGGAGUUGAUUUAUUUAAAUAUUUAAAAGUAAUCAAAAGUAUUUGAUUAGAGUAUUGCCUUGUUGCAUAUAAGAUUUGAAGUUAUAUAAAUUUGAUAAGCAGAGAUGGUUCGCUCGGUCAUGUUUAGUGAUCGAGUGCCGGUCCCGGCUUGUUCAGAAAAUGAGUCGCGACAUUUUCUUUUCCAGCCUUAUCUUUGCGGCUGUUUUUAUACUUUAUCUGUUCUCUAUUUCAAGAAUGAUACAUCAAAACUUAAAUAGAUAAGAGAUCAAAAUGAUUAACUACAGUAAUCAGCAUAAUUACAUUUACCCCUCUAAUUAAAAACGUCCUAAUAAGAUACAAAGCUAUACGAGGAAAGUGAGAUGCGUGGUUUGUCAAUUACAACUUAAACAAUGUAGGCCAUCCCAACUUCAAGAAGGGAAGCUGGAGGCACCUUGAGGGAUACAUCUGCACCCCUACAAUUCCUCCUAAGGAAAUUAUAACCAUAAUUGAUAGCCAACCUCUUCAACAUAGAUGAUCCUUGUUUUGCUUUUACAUGUGAAUGUCCUAGUACAAAUGCUGUUCCAGCUUGUUGUGCUGCAUACAAAUCUUCUAGCUCCUCCUGCAGCUGACCAUCCAUUUCUUCCCUUGAAUCGACUUCCGACUCAUUAUCUAUGGCAAAUCUCACUCUUCUUUCCACAGGUUGCAUUUCGAUGACAUCCGUCACACUUUCAGCUGUAGGGAACCCCACAGACACACUUGCCGGUUGCACAUUGUCC
This 9174-nucleotide long non-coding RNA is filed under the name Nicotiana tabacum (common tobacco). RNAcentral's name for it is "long non-coding RNA (NTAB_LNC007913)". Lineage: Eukaryota; Viridiplantae; Streptophyta; Magnoliopsida; Solanales; Solanaceae. The record is from RNAcentral.